Molecule: long non-coding RNA, 3309 nt
Filed under: Homo sapiens (human)
Lineage: Eukaryota; Metazoa; Chordata; Mammalia; Primates; Hominidae
Description: non-protein coding POC1B-AS1:33
Source: RNAcentral
AAUACUUCCUAGGUGAUUCUGACGCAGGCGCUCCACGGAAACCCUCCGAGAAUUCUGGGGGCCGUGGGGCCGCCCAGCUCAGUCCGGAGCUCCGGAACUCGGGGAAGAGCGUCCGGGAGCCGGGUCUGGGUUCCGCACUCCGUCCGCCCCGAUGGCAGAGAGUGAGAUACGGACGCCCCGGGACGAGGGGCUCAGGACCCGGCUACGGACACCUGCCUCCAUCUCCCUCCAGAUAACACAAGUGUGAAGAGAGGGGAGAGCAGCAAAGGCUGAGCUGCGUGUGCCUGGUCCCUUCCAGACUUUCCAGAUAACUUUGCCCCACGGAGGACAAGGAAAGCCAAAAGAGAGAAGCCAGGAUUGUUAGUCUUGGAAAAUGCCUCCAUAUAGAAACAUGAGCCGGAGAAUAAAUCACUUGCCUCUCUAACCAGUUGGAUUUGGUCCGUGAGUUCCUAGUUUUGUUCACCUGACUUAGUCCCUGACUUUUAAAGUCAAGUGCAUCAACAUGCUGCCAGUACUUUGAUGAACAUCUAUACAGGAUCCAUCUCUACAGCAGUGAAUUCCACCUGGGGUAAAGUAUGCAUGUAGGUUAGGAUGCUACAGUGGGACUCUGUCUGCUUUUUCUGUCUGUUUCUGCUAAGGCCUCCACACAUUAGAUGGUCAGUACUCUUUGUUCUAUGGGAAGGGCUAGAAUACCUAAACAGGACUUUCACGGAGGGAGCAACAAACCAGUUUUGUGGCUCUCAGCAAACAUCCAUCUCAAAGGUGAGUUUGGAAAUAAUGGAGAGUAUGUCAGUGUGUUUGUGUCUCAGGCCUACUUCCCACGCCUAUGGGGGAAGGGUGGGACUUAUCUCUCUCUUCCCUCAAGCCUGCUAAGAGGAGAUUAGACUAUAUUUGAGAUAAAUACCUCCAGCACAGUGACAGCCAUGCAGCUCAUGCCUGUGAAAUCAAAAGGCAAGAGGAUGCGGCUGGCUGGCUGCUCUGAGGGCAGAGAGAAAAGACCAGACAGCUCUUGGAACAGACUGUUCUUCCAGUGACGAUGGGGACAAAGAUGCAUGAGUGUAUCUCCAGGACUGGAUGUGAGCUGCAUGGGAGAAAAAGAGUGCAGGCCUGCAGCCCGGGAAAACCCAAAAGGAUGCCAUAAACCCAACAGGAAGAUGGGUUGUCAGGGCCCCAGGAGCUGAGAAAGGAAUAAAAAUGACAGAGAGAGAAAAGUACAUUGUCCACAUCAUAAAUAACACAGCUGAAUGUGCCCAAUGAGGUCCUCAGAGAACCCACAGAAGUGCCCAUGGGAACAGUUCUCUCUGGGACUCAAACCCAGGGAGAGGUGCUUUUAAACAUGCAAAGAGAGGGAACCAUCAUCAUAUUACAUUGCAGUGUCCACAUGAAUAAGACCCUAACUUACCUCAUAUUUCUCCUCCUUCCUCUGCUUUAAUCCAGGAGGAGCCAGAGACCUCUCAGUAAGUGAAGAAGAGGGGAAAUAGGUAAAAAGCCACUAUUCCCCAUGUUAGAUGAGGAAAUAGGAACAUUCUCCUCCUCUACCCAACACCCACUGUAGCUUUUAGUGGCUGGAGUCAGGAGAGAAAAGUUUUCAUGUUAAAUGAAUUUCAGAGGUUUGACUAUGACAUAGAAAUGGAUAUUUUAAUUACUGAAAUAAAACUGUUUUGUAAUUAGAGGUGACUGGAAGACAUUUUAUCCUCAGCAGAAGAAUAGAUAAGGAUAGGACCUUCCCUCCCCCUUGGACCCCACCAAGGUUUUAUCCAGAGGCAGAGGAAGAAGUAACCCUUUAUGUGAGUUUGAAUGGGCAGAAGAAGAAAAGGAUGAAGUUGUCUUCUAAUUGCACUCUAUGAAUGUUGCUUUUUUGUUAACAUAAAUGUCACAUAUAUUUUUAGCUGGUGUAACAAAAAAAAAAACAUCUCAAGCCGGCUUGCAUAAUAACAGCUUUGGGCACAGUCUGAUCAAGGCCCCGGUUCUGUUUGCUAGUGAUCCUCCUGAUUCUGCCCUCUCUCCAUGCUAGUUUCUUCCUCAGAUUGACAUUCCUCUUGGUCACCAGAUGCCUACAAUCAGCGGGUGCAACUCUCUGCUCCCUGCUCACUUCUGAAGGGGAGAGCAUGGAUACCAACCACAGAACAAAGCCCUGCAGUCUCCCGCUGAGUAGAACACCCACGAAGAAGUGUUGGCCAUUUCCCUAUUGCCAGGGAAAUAUCAUGUAUUGGUUGGAUUAGGCCUGUAUUAAUCCAGUUAAUGGAACAUAGUUAAACUAUCCCAGACCCUCCAUAGACACUAGAGAAAAGGUGAAUCCAACCCAAAUGUAAGACUGCUACUCAAUAGGACAGAAAAGGCAUGGAUGUCAGUGAAAUGGGAAAAAAAAUGUGUGCCAAAGGAGAUCAGGAAGGACUGAAUAGAAGACAUGGCCUUUGAAUUGAAGCCUUUAAUGAGGAAAGGGGAUUGACAUUGUAUGAGGGCCAGGGUGGAGAGCGGGUUGUGAAGAGGAUAGGGAAAAUGCAAGGACACUGCGGAUAUAAGAAUUAAUGGGAGAAUCAUGGGCCACAAAGCAGCAGGAUUAUAUUACAGAGAUUGCGGUGCAUCAAAAGAUCAGGGUGAAACUGACUUCAAGGAAAGAGCCCUCGGCUAGAGGAAGAAGCCUGGAGAAGUAAAGGGAUUGCUCCUGGAAUUGGAAAUCUACCCUUUGCACUUCUAUUUACUGCAUUUGGAUUGAUUUGCAAGAAUAACCAUUAAAAUAAUCAAAGCUAAAAGUACAACGGAGUAAGUGUACUCACACCACCCUGUUCCUCCCACUGAAUGCGGCUAAAAAACCUGGGCAGAAUAAGUGGAGCAUCUGAGGACUCUGAAAAGUAAAUAAUAGCAGGCAGAUUGGAGAUGAAGACCAAAAUGGAGUUAAACAAGACCCCACAUCUUAUAACAUGUCAUUCAAAACGUCUAGAAUACAAUCCACAAGUGUGCAGCAUGCAAAGAACCAGGAAGAUCAUGACUCACUUAGGAACUAGCUGACAAAGACUUGCUAGCAGAGCUAUUGUAAAAAUGCUCCACCAAGUAAGGAAAUAAAAUCUUAUAUAGGUGGAAUAACAGAAUGUCUCAGCAAAGAAGUAGAAGAUUUAAAGAAGAACUGUCUGAAAUGUUAGAACUGAAAAAUAUAACUUAAAGAAACUCACUGGAUAGGCUCAAUAGCAGAAAAAAAUUAACAAAGAAAAAAGUGUACUUGGAGAUAGAUCAAUAGAAAGUAUUGAAUUUGCAUAACAGAGAGAGGCUGAGUGCGGUGGCUCAUGCCUGUAAUCCCAGCACUUUUAGAGG